AUUGAACGCUGGCGGCAUGCCUUACACAUGCAAGUCGAACGGUAACAGGUCUUCUGAUGCUGCCGAGUUGCGUACGGGUGAGUAAUACAUCGGUACGUGCCCAGACGUGGGGGCUAACGGGUCGAAAGCUUUGCUAAUACCUCAUACGAUCUAAGGAUGAAAGCAGGGGACCGCAAGGCCUUGCGCGUUUGGAGCGGCCGAUGGCAGAUUAGGUAGUUGGUGGGAUAAAAGUUUACCAAGCCGACGAUCUGUAGCUGGUCCGAGAGAACGACGAGCCAGAUGGGAACUGAGAAACGGCCCAGACUCUUCGGGGAGGCAGCAGUCGGGACUUUUGCGCAAUGGGAGAAAGCCUGAUACAGCAAUGCAGCGUGCAGGAUGAAGGCCUUCGGGUGCUAAACUGCUUUUGUACGGAGAGAAAAGGCUCUGGAUAAUACGUGAGGAUCAUGACAGUACCGCAAGAAUAAGCACCGGCUAACUACGUG
Molecule: ribosomal RNA, 482 nt
Filed under: uncultured bacterium
Lineage: Bacteria
Description: partial 16S ribosomal RNA
Rfam family: Bacterial small subunit ribosomal RNA
Source: RNAcentral